RNAcentral lists this ribosomal RNA (630 nucleotides) under Solenotheres prolixus. RNAcentral's name for it is "partial 16S ribosomal RNA". It matches the Rfam family "Bacterial large subunit ribosomal RNA", at positions 1831 to 2724 of the family's 2925-position model. The record is from RNAcentral. Lineage: Eukaryota; Metazoa; Arthropoda; Malacostraca; Decapoda; Pinnotheridae.
GUCUGCUUGGAGAUAUAAGGAGUUUAACCUGCUCUCUGAUAUUAUUUAAGGGCCGCGGUAAUUUGACCGUGCAAAGGUAGCGUAAUAGUUAGUUUUUUAAUUGAAAUCUUGUAUGAAUGGUUGGACAAAAGAAAUACUGUCUCUGAAAUUUUUAUUGAAUUUAACUUUUAAGUGAAAAGGCUUAAAUAUUUUAAAAAGACGAUAAGACCCUAUAAAGCUUUAUAAUAGAUUUUUAUUCGAUUAAAUUAAUAAAUAAAAUUUUAAUAAAUUAUAUUAUUUUGUUGGGGAGAUAAGAUUAUAAUUUAAAAUAACUGAUAAAAAUUAAUACAACUAUAUAUGGUUAAUUAAAUAGUAGAUCCUAUAAUAAAGAUUAAAAGUUUAAGUUACUUUAGGGAUAACAGCGUUAUUUUUCUUGAGAGUUCUUAUCGAAAGAAAAGAUUGCGACCUCGAUGUUGAAUUAAAAUUCCUUAAUAAUUGUAGAAGUUAUUAUUAGGAGGUCUGUUCGACCUUUAAAUUUUUACAUGAUUUGAGUUCAGACCGGCGUAAGCCAGGUUGGUUUCUAUCUUUUAAUAAAAAUUAGGUUAUUUUAGUACGAAAGGAUUGAAUAAUUGAAAGUGUUUUGUAUAAUGU